This 497-nucleotide ribosomal RNA is filed under the name uncultured bacterium. RNAcentral describes it as "partial 16S ribosomal RNA". It matches the Rfam family "Bacterial small subunit ribosomal RNA", at positions 28 to 507 of the family's 1533-position model. The record is from RNAcentral.
GAUGAACGCUGGCGGCGUGCCUAAUACAUGCAAGUCGAGCGAACAGACGAGGAGCUUGCUCCUCUGACGUUAGCGGCGGACGGGUGAGUAACACGUGGAUAACCUACCUAUAAGACUGGGAUAACUUCGGGAAACCGGAGCUAAUACCGGAUAAUAUAUUGAACCGCAUGGUUCAAUAGUGAAAGACGGUUUUGCUGUCACUUAUAGAUGGAUCAGCGCCGCAUUAGCUAGUUGGUAAGGUAACGGCUUACCAAGGCAACGAUGCGUAGCCGACCUGAGAGGGUGAUCGGCCACACUGGAACUGAGACACGGUCCAGACUCCUACGGGAGGCAGCAGUAGGGAAUCGUCCGCAAUGGGCGAGAGCCUGACGGAGCAACGCCGCGUGAGUGAUGAAGGUCUUCGGAUCGUAAAACUCUGUUAUUAGGGAAGAACAAAUGUGUAAGUAACUAUGCACGUCUUGACGGUACCUAAUCAGAAAGCCACGGCUAACUACGUG